RNAcentral lists this ribosomal RNA (1346 nucleotides) under uncultured bacterium. RNAcentral describes it as "bacterial SSU rRNA". It matches the Rfam family "Bacterial small subunit ribosomal RNA", at positions 28 to 1381 of the family's 1533-position model. The record is from RNAcentral.
GACGAACGCUGGCGGCGUGCUUAACACAUGCAAGUCGAACGGAAAGGCCCUGCUUUUGUGGGGUGCUCGAGUGGCGAACGGGUGAGUAACACGUGAGUAACCUGCCCUUGACUUUGGGAUAACUUCAGGAAACUGGGGCUAAUACCGGAUAGGAGCUCCUGCUGCAUGGUGGGGGUUGGAAAGUUUCGGCGGUUGGGGAUGGACUCGCGGCUUAUCAGCUUGUUGGUGGGGUAGUGGCUUACCAAGGCUUUGACGGGUAGCCGGCCUGAGAGGGUGACCGGCCACAUUGGGACUGAGAUACGGCCCAGACUCCUACGGGAGGCAGCAGUGGGGAAUAUUGCACAAUGGGCGGAAGCCUGAUGCAGCAACGCCGCGUGCGGGAUGACGGCCUUCGGGUUGUAAACCGCUUUCGCCUGUGACGAAGCGUGAGUGACGGUAAUGGGUAAAGAAGCACCGGCUAACUACGUGCCAGCAGCCGCGGUGAUACGUAGGGUGCGAGCGUUGUCCGGAUUUAUUGGGCGUAAAGGGCUCGUAGGUGGUUGAUCGCGUCGGAAGUGUAAUCUUGGGGCUUAACCCUGAGCGUGCUUUCGAUACGGGUUGACUUGAGGAAGGUAGGGGAGAAUGGAAUUCCUGGUGGAGCGGUGGAAUGCGCAGAUAUCAGGAGGAACACCAGUGGCGAAGGCGGUUCUCUGGGCCUUUCCUGACGCUGAGGAGCGAAAGCGUGGGGAGCGAACAGGCUUAGAUACCCUGGUAGUCCACGCUGUAAACGGUGGGUACUAGGUGUGGGGUCCAUUCCACGGGUUCCGUGCCGUAGCUAACGCUUUAAGUACCCCGCCUGGGGAGUACGGCCGCAAGGCUAAAACUCAAAGGAAUUGACGGGGCCCCGCACAAGCGGCGGAGCAUGCGGAUUAAUUCGAUGCAACGCGUAGAACCUUACCUGGGUUUGACAUGGAUCGGGAGUGCUCAGAGAUGGGUGUGCCUCUUUUGGGGUCGGUUCACAGGUGGUGCAUGCCUGUCGUCAGCUCGUGUCGUGAGAUGUUGGGUUAAGUCCCGCAACGAGCGCAACCCUUGUUCACUGUUGCCAGCACGUUAUGGUGGGGACUCAGUGGAGACCGCCGGGGUCAACUCGGAGGAAGGUGGGGAUGACGUCAAGUCCUCAUGCCCCUUAUGUCCAGGGCUUCACGCAUGCUACAAUGGCUGGUACAGAGAGUGGCGAGCCUGUGAGGGUGAGCGAAUCCCGGAAAGCCGGUCUCAGUUCGGAUUGGGGUCUGCAACUCGACCUCAUGAAGUCGGAGUCGCUAGUAAUCGCAGAUCAGCAACGCUGCGGUGAAUACGUUCCCGGGGCU